RNAcentral lists this ribosomal RNA (328 nucleotides) under uncultured eukaryote. Its description in RNAcentral is "partial 18S ribosomal RNA". It matches the Rfam family "Eukaryotic small subunit ribosomal RNA", at positions 1470 to 1796 of the family's 1831-position model. The record is from RNAcentral.
CCCUUAGACGUUCUGGGCCGCACGCGCGCUACACUGACCAGUGCAACAAGCAUCCGUCCUUGGCCGACAGGCCCGGGCAAUCUUUGAACGCUGGUCGUGAUGGGGAUAGACUUUUGCAAUUUUUGGUCUUCAACGAGGAAUUCCUAGUAAACGCAAGUCAUCAACUUGCAUUGAUUACGUCCCUGCCCUUUGUACACACCGCCCGUCGCUCCUACCGAUUGAAUGGUCCGGUGAAGCGCUCGGACCGCGGCCUCUUGACGGGUCUCCGUCGAUUGGCUGUGGGAAGUUCGUUAAACCUUAUCAUUUAGAGGAAGGAGAAGUCGUAACA